Molecule: long non-coding RNA, 201 nt
Filed under: Gossypium barbadense (sea-island cotton)
Lineage: Eukaryota; Viridiplantae; Streptophyta; Magnoliopsida; Malvales; Malvaceae
Description: long non-coding RNA (GBAR_LNC021828)
Source: RNAcentral
AGAGUUUUAUGGUUCUAUUCUCUUCGAGAGAUCAAUGCAUGAAUCCCCUAACCUCUAGUCUCGUGUGCCACGUGUAGAUCAUGUACGGUCUGCACGUCCAUAGCCAUACAACAUUUGGCGAUGUGAGAUGACGUGUGUCUUCAUGCAUGGUGGUUGACCUAAUAAGGUUUCCUAAACAUGAUGGAGACACAUAACAAUAAC